AUUGAACGCUGGCGGCAGGCUUAACACAUGCAAGUCGAGCGGGGGAAGGUAGCUUGCUACCGGACCUAGCGGCGGACGGGUGAGUAAUGCUUAGGAAUCUGCCUAUUAGUGGGGGACAACAUCUCGAAAGGGAUGCUAAUACCGCAUACGUCCUACGGGAGAAAGCAGGGGAUCUUCGGACCUUGCGUUAAUAGAUGAGCCUAAGUCGGAUUAGCUAGUUGGUGGGGUAAAGGCCUACCAAGGCGACGAUCUGUAGCGGGUCUGAGAGGAUGAUCCGCCACACUGGGACUGAGACACGGCCCAGACUCCUACGGGAGGCAGCAGUGGGGAAUAUUGGACAAUGGGGGGAACCCUGAUCCAGCCAUGCCGCGUGUGUGAAGAAGGCCUCAUGGUUGUAAAGCACUUUAAGCGAGGAGGAGGCUACUCUAGUUAAUACCUAGGGAUAGUGGACGUUACUCGCAGAAUAAGCACCGGCUAACUCUGUGCCAGCAGCCGCGGUAA
RNAcentral lists this ribosomal RNA (501 nucleotides) under uncultured bacterium. Its description in RNAcentral is "partial 16S ribosomal RNA". It matches the Rfam family "Bacterial small subunit ribosomal RNA", at positions 30 to 523 of the family's 1533-position model. The record is from RNAcentral.